UUUUUCCCGGGUCGAAGAUAGAUGGCUCCCAAAUCCGAUAUCACCGAAGGUAAAUAACCUCCGAAUCUCAAGAAAACACUCCAAUAACUUUAAGCCUUCAUGACGAAUUAGAACUCAAAUCGUGCUCGAUCGCUUCUUAAUAACGGUUUUAGGUUCUGUUUAUUAUUUAAAGCUUUAAAAUAUCAUCUCUUUGUCUGCAGCUAUCGUGCUCAACUUCGUGAAUGAGGUACGUAACCCUUUCCCAUUUUUACUACAGAAGAAAUAAAUUUCAUCUAUAAAUUUGAAUUUUCGGUAGGGUAGCAAAAUAGGCCAUUGAAUUCUCAAAAUGUGGCUGACUUGUUGCAAAAGUUCAACCUAAAAAAGGCAGCAAUACAGAAAACACUGGGUAAUCUUUCGGAUAAUGGGAAGAUGUCGUUUAAGGAGUAUGGUAAGCAGAAGAUACAUCUUGCUCGGAAAGAUCAUUUUAACAUUCCCAACAGCCAAGAGCUUAAUCAGAUGAAGGAAGAAAAUGCUAAACUGCAGCAACAGCUGGAUGAGCAGAAGAGAGCUAUUAGUGAGGUUGAGGGCGGUCUGUUCUAUACGCGGCCGUUAUGUGUUCCAAAGAAGUAGGCUCUUUUUUUUUCCUUUCAUUAAAUGAAAUGAAUAUUGCCUGGUUGAAUCUGAUGAAUUUCCGCGUUAGAACAACUACUUAAGAUGUCUCAAUUGUUUUAAUAUGGUAUGAGAAAUACUGAUUGAUGUACACAAAGCUUGACACGGAUUUCAGCUUUGUGAAUUUCAGGAGAAGUACUGCUAACAAAAAUAUGAUGGGAGCUGGGUUGAUGUACACUAUUGCAGAAAUUAGAACCUUGGAGUCGAAUCUGACACUGCAACAGAUACACGAUAAAGAAGCCAAGCUGAGGAAGAGGGUAAAUUACGCGUGGGCUUUUGAAGUGCUUCUUUAGUGGGAGUCUUUUGAAGUUGUUUCUGUGAAGAAGAAUGGAUAGAGCUCAGGACUUCUGAUUUCCGUAUCAGGUUAAGGAAAUGGAAGACAAAUUGGUAAAAUUACGCGAAGGAGUUACCUUGGUCAGGCCAGAAGAGCGGCAGGCAAUUGAGGAAAUGUAUUCAGAGAAAUUAAGUCAGUGGAGAAAAAAGGAUGUUCAAGGAUGUGUGGGGUGUCAUAACCGAGAACUCACCCCAGGAUCUAAAAGAAUUUAAGGAGGAACUUGGACUUGAAUAUGAUGAAGAGAUGUUAGUGUGAGCUUGCAGUCAUUUAGUGACCUGCUGCAACGUUGCAAGAAGCGAGCCAGGGGCCAGUAACUUUAUAGAUUCCUCUGUUUUUUUACAAAAUUCAGUAAAGAUACAAGGCAAUCACAACCAAAACAACAAAAUAA
Long non-coding RNA from Populus trichocarpa (black cottonwood), 1370 nucleotides. RefSeq lists it as uncharacterized. The transcript has 2 exons. Lineage: Eukaryota; Viridiplantae; Streptophyta; Magnoliopsida; Malpighiales; Salicaceae. The record is from RefSeq and is a predicted model, not a curated record.